GGUUAAGCGACUAAGCGUACACGGUGGAUGCCCUGGCAGUCAGAGGCGAUGAAGGGCGUGCUAAUCUGCGAUAAGCGCCGGUAAGGUGAUAUGAACCGUUAUAACCGGCGAUACCCGAAUGGGGAAACCCAGUGUGAUUCGUCACACUAUCAUUAACUGAAUCCAUAGGUUAAUGAGGCGAACCGGGGGAACUGAAACAUCUAAGUACCCCGAGGAAAAGAAAUCAACCGAGAUUCCCCCAGUAGCGGCGAGCGAACGGGGAGGAGCCCAGAGCCUGAAUCAGCAUGUGUGUUAGUGGAAGCGUCUGGAAAGGCGCGCGAUACAGGGUGACAGCCCCGUACACAAAAGCGCAUGUGCUGUGAGCUCGAUGAGUAGGGCGGGACACGUGGUAUCCUGUCUGAAUAUGGGGGGACCAUCCUCCAAGGCUAAAUACUCCUGACUGACCGAUAGUGAACCAGUACCGUGAGGGAAAGGCGAAAAGAACCCCGGCGAGGGGAGUGAAAAAGAACCUGAAACCGUGUACGUACAAGCAGUGGGAGCACAGGUUUACCUGUGUGACUGCGUACCUUUUGUAUAAUGGGUCAGCGACUUAUAUUCUGUAGCAAGGUUAACCGUAUAGGGGAGCCGUAGGGAAACCGAGUCUUAACCGGGCGUUAAGUUGCAGGGUAUAGACCCGAAACCCGGUGAUCUAGCCAUGGGCAGGUUGAAGGUUGGGUAACACUAACUGGAGGACCGAACCGACUAAUGUUGAAAAAUUAGCGGAUGACCUGUGGCUGGGGGUGAAAGGCCAAUCAAACCGGGAGAUAGCUGGUUCUCCCCGAAAGCUAUUUAGGUAGCGCCUCGUGAAUUCAUCUCCGGGGGUAGAGCACUGUUUCGGCUAGGGGGCCAUCCCGGCUUACCAACCCGAUGCAAACUGCGAAUACCGGAGAAUGUUAUCACGGGAGACACACGGCGGGUGCUAACGUCCGUCGUGAAGAGGGAAACAACCCAGACCGCCAGCUAAGGUCCCAAAGUCAUGGUUAAGUGGGAAACGAUGUGGGAAGGCCCAGACAGCCAGGAUGUUGGCUUAGAAGCAGCCAUCAUUUAAAGAAAGCGUAAUAGCUCACUGGUCGAGUCGGCCUGCGCGGAAGAUGUAACGGGGCUAAACCAUGCACCGAAGCUGCGGCAGCGAACGUAUCACCCAAGACAACUUUACGGAGUUGACGAUUGACGGAGCGAAGCGACGUCAAAGCGUUCAUUAAAGUCGAGUUGGCUUAGGGAUACGUUCGUUGGGUAGGGGAGCGUUCUGUAAGCCUGUGAAGGUGUGUCGUGAGGCAUGCUGGAGGUAUCAGAAGUGCGAAUGCUGACAUAAGUAACGAUAAAGCGGGUGAAAAGCCCGCUCGCCGGAAGACCAAGGGUUCCUGUCCAACGUUAAUCGGGGCAGGGUGAGUCGACCCCUAAGGCGAGGCCGAAAGGCGUAGUCGAUGGGAAACGGGUUAAUAUUCCCGUACUUGGUGUUACUGCGAAGGGGGGACGGAGAAGGCUAUGUUGGCCGGGCGACGGUUGUCCCGGUUUAAGCGUGUAGGUGUGUGUUCCAGGUAAAUCCGGUUCACUUUAACACUGAGGCGUGACGACGAGGCACUACGGUGCUGAAGCAACAAAUGCCCUGCUUCCAGGAAAAGCCUCUAAGCAUCAGGUAACACGAAAUCGUACCCCAAACCGACACAGGUGGUCAGGUAGAGAAUACCAAGGCGCUUGAGAGAACUCGGGUGAAGGAACUAGGCAAAAUGGUGCCGUAACUUCGGGAGAAGGCACGCUGACACGUAGGUGAAGUGAUUUACUCACGGAGCUGAAGUCAGUCGAAGAUACCAGCUGGCUGCAACUGUUUAUUAAAAACACAGCACUGUGCAAACACGAAAGUGGACGUAUACGGUGUGACGCCUGCCCGGUGCCGGAAGGUUAAUUGAUGGGGUCAGCGCAAGCGAAGCUCCUGAUCGAAGCCCCGGUAAACGGCGGCCGUAACUAUAACGGUCCUAAGGUAGCGAAAUUCCUUGUCGGGUAAGUUCCGACCUGCACGAAUGGCGUAAUGAUGGCCAGGCUGUCUCCACCCGAGACUCAGUGAAAUUGAACUCGCUGUGAAGAUGCAGUGUACCCGCGGCAAGACGGAAAGACCCCGUGAACCUUUACUAUAGCUUGACACUGAACAUUGAGCCUUGAUGUGUAGGAUAGGUGGGAGGCUUUGAAGUGUGGACGCCAGUCUGCAUGGAGCCGACCUUGAAAUACCACCCUUUAAUGUUUGAUGUUCUAACGUGGACCCGUAAUCCGGGUUGCGGACAGUGUCUGGUGGGUAGUUUGACUGGGGCGGUCUCCUCCUAAAGAGUAACGGAGGAGCACGAAGGUUGGCUAAUCCUGGUCGGACAUCAGGAGGUUAGUGCAAUGGCAUAAGCCAGCUUGACUGCGAGCGUGACGGCGCGAGCAGGUGCGAAAGCAGGUCAUAGUGAUCCGGUGGUUCUGAAUGGAAGGGCCAUCGCUCAACGGAUAAAAGGUACUCCGGGGAUAACAGGCUGAUACCGCCCAAGAGUUCAUAUCGACGGCGGUGUUUGGCACCUCGAUGUCGGCUCAUCACAUCCUGGGGCUGAAGUAGGUCCCAAGGGUAUGGCUGUUCGCCAUUUAAAGUGGUACGCGAGCUGGGUUUAGAACGUCGUGAGACAGUUCGGUCCCUAUCUGCCGUGGGCGCUGGAGAACUGAGGGGGGCUGCUCCUAGUACGAGAGGACCGGAGUGGACGCAUCACUGGUGUUCGGGUUGUCAUGCCAAUGGCACUGCCCGGUAGCUAAAUGCGGAAGAGAUAAGUGCUGAAAGCAUCUAAGCACGAAACUUGCCCCGAGAUGAGUUCUCCCUGAGACUUAGAGUCUCCUGAAGGAACGUUGAAGACGACGACGUUGAUAGGCCGGGUGUGUAAGCGCAGCGAUGCGUUGAGCUAACCGGUACUAAUGAACCGUGAGGCUUAACCUU
RNAcentral lists this ribosomal RNA (2992 nucleotides) under Salmonella enterica subsp. enterica serovar Typhimurium. RNAcentral's name for it is "23S ribosomal RNA". It matches the Rfam family "Bacterial large subunit ribosomal RNA". The record is from RNAcentral. Lineage: Bacteria; Pseudomonadati; Pseudomonadota; Gammaproteobacteria; Enterobacterales; Enterobacteriaceae.